GGAUGCGAUCAUACCAGCACUAAAGCACCGGAUCCCAUCAGAACUUCGAAGUUAAGCGUGCUUGGGCGAGAGUAGUACUAGGAUGGGUGACCUCCUGGGAAGUCCUCGUGUUGCAUUCCC
RNAcentral lists this ribosomal RNA (120 nucleotides) under Thinopyrum intermedium. The record is from RNAcentral. Lineage: Eukaryota; Viridiplantae; Streptophyta; Magnoliopsida; Poales; Poaceae.